CGCAGGACACGGAAAUGUGAGGAGAGUGAAGAUACUAGGCUGCAAGAAACAACCCUGCCACGUCAAGAUUGGCUCCAGAGUGACGUUCGAGGCUUCGUUCAUCGCACCGUUCACGACCUCUUCGGCGGUCAACGACAUCGGCGCGUACAUCGAGCGGCACAGAUUUCAGCUCCCAGAGCCGCACGUCGACGCCUGCGCCAGCGGCCACAUCAGCCCUUCGUGUCCCAUGCGUAAGGGCCAAGUGUACUCCUACCGCUACACGUUGCCUGUCCGGGAGAUAUAUCCUGCGACGCCGGCAACUAUUGAGUACAAGCUGGUCACCCAAGAAGGUAAGGUUAUCGGGUGCAGCCAAGUUCCAGUCGUGAUCUUCAGAUGAUUUGGAGCGGUCUCGUCAACUCAUCAGCACAGUCAAGAUUACGCAAUUAUUG
This is a non-coding RNA of Dermacentor albipictus, 428 nucleotides long. Lineage: Eukaryota; Metazoa; Arthropoda; Arachnida; Ixodida; Ixodidae. The record is from RefSeq and is a predicted model, not a curated record.